RNAcentral lists this long non-coding RNA (308 nucleotides) under Neodiprion lecontei (redheaded pine sawfly). RNAcentral describes it as "uncharacterized LOC124294958". The record is from RNAcentral. Lineage: Eukaryota; Metazoa; Arthropoda; Insecta; Hymenoptera; Diprionidae.
GGAGGAGGACGAGGAAGACGAGGAGAACAAGGUGGACGAGGAGGACGAGGAUUAGUGCUCGGUAUACCCGUGGUGGUUAUCGGUGGUUGUUGGAGGUGAUUGGCGGUGAUUGCAGGUGUUCGGAGUUGGACGAGGAGGAGGACGAGGAAGACGAGGAGAACAAGGUGGACGAGGAGGACGAGGAUUAGUGCUCGGUAUAACCCGAGGUAGUUCGCGGUGGUUCCGGGUGAUCGAGGUGAGCGAGGAAGAGGACGAGGAUGACCAGGACUUGUACACUUUCUGUGCCCCACCUAGUGAUCCACCAGUAC